RNAcentral lists this long non-coding RNA (445 nucleotides) under Marmota monax (woodchuck). The record is from RNAcentral. Lineage: Eukaryota; Metazoa; Chordata; Mammalia; Rodentia; Sciuridae.
CAGAUUUCUAUUUUUUCCUGUAGGAGACCUGUUUAUCUGUGCAACAAUCUAUUCAAGGGCCACUGGGACACUAUGCUGUUAAUGUAACAUCUGCAGCCAAGCUCUGCAGUCAAAGUCUAUGCAACAGUCAUGGAAGAUGUGUUCGAAAAACACCUGAAUCCUCCUCUUAUCUGCAUAUGCCUGAAAGCAGCAGAAAGAAAUAUGUUCCACAAAAGAGCUUCAGAUUUGUCAUUUCUGAAAAGAGCAAACUGCAGACAAUAAUGGACAUGAAGAAUAGAUUUGUGUGUCACUGCUAUUAUAGCUGGGGUGGAGAGUCUUGCCAUCUUCCCUCCUCAGAUUUCUUGAGUUGGAAGAACAAGGCUCCUGAUGCUAACUUUAACUUCCCAGUUUUUCUUGGCAUGAACUUAUCUGUGCUUCUGAUGAAAUUUCUUUCCUCCCUACUACA